GACGAAGGUGGCUAGCGUUUCUCGGAAUUACUGGGCAUAAAGCGCGCGUAGGUGGUCCUGUAAGCGGGGGAUGAAAGCCCAUGGCUCACCCAUGGAACUGUCCUUCGGACUGCAGGGCUGGAGGGCGGGAGGGGAGAAUGGAAUUCCCGGUGUAGCGGUGAAAUGCGUAGAUAUCGGGAGGAACGCCGGUGGCGAAAGCGAUUCUCUGGCCCGUUCCUGACACUGAGGCGCGAAAGCUAGGGGAGCAAACAGG
Molecule: ribosomal RNA, 253 nt
Filed under: uncultured bacterium
Lineage: Bacteria
Description: partial 16S ribosomal RNA
Rfam family: Bacterial small subunit ribosomal RNA
Source: RNAcentral